AACGUAGGUGGCAAGCGUUAUCCGGAAUUACUGGGCGUAAAGGGUGUGCAGGCGGGGAAGCAAGUGGUGUAUGAAAUCUCCCAGCUUAACUGGGAUAGGUUAUGCCAUACUGCUUUUCUAGAGGACGAGAGAGGGGGGUGGAAUUCCGGGUGUAGUGGUGAAAUGCGUAGAGAUCCGGAGGAACCCCAGAGGCGAAGGCGGCCCCCUGGGCCAAUACUGACGCUCAUGCACGAAAGCGUGGGAAGCAAACAGG
RNAcentral lists this ribosomal RNA (253 nucleotides) under uncultured bacterium. RNAcentral's name for it is "partial 16S ribosomal RNA". It matches the Rfam family "Bacterial small subunit ribosomal RNA", at positions 524 to 776 of the family's 1533-position model. The record is from RNAcentral.